This 853-nucleotide ribosomal RNA is filed under the name uncultured Marinovum sp. Its description in RNAcentral is "bacterial SSU rRNA". It matches the Rfam family "Bacterial small subunit ribosomal RNA", at positions 8 to 908 of the family's 1533-position model. The record is from RNAcentral. Lineage: Bacteria; Pseudomonadati; Pseudomonadota; Alphaproteobacteria; Rhodobacterales; Roseobacteraceae.
AGAGUUUGAUCAUGGCUCAGAACGAACGCUGGCGGCAGGCCUAACACAUGCAAGUCGAGCGAGCUCUUCGGAGCUAGCGGCGGACGGGUUAGUAACGCGUGGGAACGUGCCCUUCACUGCGGAAUAGCCACUGGAAACGGUGAGUAAUACCGCAUACGCCCUUCGGGGGAAAGAUUUAUCGGUGAAGGAUCGGCCCGCGUUAGAUUAGAUAGUUGGUGGGGUAACGGCCUACCAAGUCUACGAUCUAUAGCUGGUUUUAGAGGAUGAUCAGCAACACUGGGACUGAGACACGGCCCAGACUCCUACGGGAGGCAGCAGUGGGGAAUCUUGGACAAUGGGCGCAAGCCUGAUCCAGCCAUGCCGCGUGAGUGAUGAAGGCCUUAGGGUCGUAAAGCUCUUUCGCCAGAGAUGAUAAUGACAGUAUCUGGUAAAGAAACCCCGGCUAACUCCGUGCCAGCAGCCGCGGUAAUACGGAGGGGGUUAGCGUUGUUCGGAAUUACUGGGCGUAAAGCGCACGUAGGCGGAUCAGAAAGUUGGGGGUGAAAUCCCGGGGCUCAACCCCGGAACUGCCUCCAAAACUCCUGGUCUUGAGUUCGAGAGAGGUGAGUGGAAUUCCGAGUGUAGAGGUGAAAUUCGUAGAUAUUCGGAGGAACACCAGUGGCGAAGGCGGCUCACUGGCUCGAUACUGACGCUGAGGUGCGAAAGUGUGGGGAGCAAACAGGAUUAGAUACCCUGGUAGUCCACACCGUAAACGAUGAAUGCCAGUCGUCGGGUAGCAUGCUAUUCGGUGACACACCUAACGGAUUAAGCAUUCCGCCUGGGGAUUACGGUCCCAAGAUUAAAACUCAAAGGG